RNAcentral lists this transfer RNA (86 nucleotides) under Candidatus Woesearchaeota archaeon. RNAcentral describes it as "tRNA-Leu". It matches the Rfam family "tRNA". From Rfam's summary of the family: Transfer RNA (tRNA) molecules are approximately 80 nucleotides in length. Their secondary structure includes four short double-helical elements and three loops (D, anti-codon, and T loops). Further hydrogen bonds mediate the characteristic L-shaped molecular structure. tRNAs have two regions of fundamental functional importance: the anti-codon, which is responsible for specific mRNA codon recognition, and the 3' end, to which the tRNAs corresponding amino acid is attached (by aminoacyl-tRNA synthetases). tRNAs cope with the degeneracy of the genetic code in two manners: having more than one tRNA (with a specific anti-codon) for a particular amino acid; and 'wobble' base-pairing, i.e. permitting non-standard base-pairing at the 3rd anti-codon position. Lineage: Archaea; Nanobdellati; Candidatus Woesearchaeota. The record is from RNAcentral.
GCGGGGGUGGCAGAGCCUGGUCAAAUGCGUAGGACUUAAGAUCCUAUCUCUUAGUGGGUACGGGGGUUCAAAUCCCCUCCCCCGCA